Kibdelosporangium phytohabitans is the source of this 45-nucleotide regulatory RNA element. It matches the Rfam family "L31-Actinobacteria ribosomal protein leader". Lineage: Bacteria; Bacillati; Actinomycetota; Actinomycetes; Pseudonocardiales; Pseudonocardiaceae. The record is from Rfam.
CCGGCUCCGGUUCACCCCGCGGAUCCACCAGGGGACCCGGCGGCC